UCUGAACCAGCCAAGUAGCGUGCAGGAUGACGGCCCUAUGGGUUGUAACUGCUUUUAUAGGGGGAUCCAGUGUGCCUUGUGUGGCAUAUGCAGGUACCCUAUGAAUAAGGUCCGGCUAAUUCCGUGCCAGCAGCCGCGGUAAUACGGAGGUAAGGGCGUUAUCCGGAUUUAUUGGGUUUAAAGGGAGCGUAGGCCGUUUGGUAAGCGUAAUGUGAAA
Molecule: ribosomal RNA, 217 nt
Filed under: uncultured Prevotella sp.
Lineage: Bacteria; Pseudomonadati; Bacteroidota; Bacteroidia; Bacteroidales; Prevotellaceae
Description: partial 16S ribosomal RNA
Rfam family: Bacterial small subunit ribosomal RNA
Source: RNAcentral